Molecule: ribosomal RNA, 305 nt
Filed under: uncultured bacterium
Lineage: Bacteria
Description: partial 16S ribosomal RNA
Rfam family: Bacterial small subunit ribosomal RNA
Source: RNAcentral
CCUACGGGGGGCAGCAGUGGGGGAUAUUGGACAAUGGGGGGGAACCCUGAUCCAGCGACGCCGCGUGAGUGAAGAAGUAUUUCGGUAUGUAAAGCUCUGUCAGCAGGGAAGAAAGCAAUGACGGUACCUGACCAAGAAGCCCCGGCUAACUACGUGCCAGCAGCCGCGGUAAUACGUAGGGGGCAAGCGUUAUCCGGAAUUACUGGGUGUAAAGGGAGCGUAGGCGGGAUGGCAAGUUGGGUGUUAAAUCUACCGGCUCAACUGGUAGUCGCACUCAAAACUGCUAUUCUUGAGUGAAGUAGAGG